GCAGAGAACAGUUUGAAGGGAAGCUAAGAAGUCCAAGACCCUAGAAGGAAGUGUUCAGUGCAACUAAUGCAGCAAGGUUUCCAGAGUCUUCAUGUCUCCUGGCCUUAUUAUCUCCCUGGACUAAAAGGGACUGUAGGCUGGGCAGUUUUUCUGGAGCAGGGCAGAGUCCCUUGAAAGGCAUUAACCCAUUUCCAUGCCACAGCAUGAGGUCCUUUGCAUAGUCAACCCGGGGUAGAGGAUGAAGGCACACUGGAUGCUGCAUAUCAUUCUGAGCUACACGGUCAAACACCCCCUUGAAGUACGAGAAUAGUCUCUUGGACAGGAUGGCACAGUAAGAUGAGGGUCCAUCGAGGAUCUCUCCCAUAGCCUUAGGGCCGGUAGAGCUUCUGGAUCCUGGAUGCUGCUGCUGGAUAAUAGCGAUGACUCAUGUUCCUUCUCCUGGCUUCUCUCAUGUUGUUGUUAUGGCCCGUUGCAGGAGUUCUGUGAGCAGUCGAUGUGUUCUCAUGAGUUCCCUUUUUCCCAGAUACAGUUUCUGCAGAAAGGUCUUUAGUGAGCCUGUCUACAAGGAGGUCAAAGUCAUCGAAGGAAGCUGUUCUCACCAAUUCCUCUAUCCAAGCGGUUUGCCAUAGUGUGGCGGCCCUCACCGAAGGCUGCUGCUUGUCUGGCUGCUCAAUCUCCACCAGCUCAGCCUGGAAAAUUGCUGUGGAAUUAGUCUGUUGCCUAUUUUCUUCCUGGUGUUGAGAACAAUAACCCAACCCCCAGGUUACAGAAACAUGCUGUAAGAACUACUAAGUCAGACUAGUCUCAAUGGCAAAAAAUAGUCCUGAUGACAUCUGACUCUCAAACUUCCAUUAAUAUCCUGUGGUAAAUGACCAUAUCAGAGUGUGAACCACUGAUCUUUCCACACAUCAUGUAUCCUGGGUCAACUUAUAUUGAACAAGCCACUUAAAUGGCAUGCCGGGCAUUGUUUACAAAUCUAUUCAGAGAGAUUCCAAGUGUCAACUGGUAUUUAGUGCCAGGCAUUUCUUGUUGGGAAUCCGUUUGUUUUCCUGCUCUAGAUUCUGGCUACUAAACCAUUUGAUUUUACCUUAUUUCAGUGUAUUUUUAAGAAGUUAGAAUACUUUGCACUGCAUUUACAGUAGAAUGAAUCAACUGGGACAUUUCUACCAGAGAUAUUUGUCAAAAGAAGAGCAGGAAUCUCCAUCAAUCUGUAUGCAGAGCUCCUGACACAGUCAGUGGAAUUUUGGAGAACAGAUCAAUUGUAGUUUUGGGCACUUAAGAUGAUUAUACUCUAUUAUACAACCAAUCUUUUAAAAAAAGAUUUUGCAUUUCUUGGCUUUGUUACAUCUCUGGGAAUAUGUCAAGCUAAAAUUUGUUUUCUAGAAAUUUUUUUUUUAACUACAGAAAAAAUAAACCUGUGAAUCUAUUAAAAAACAAAACUUAUUCGUGUGAGUUAAUACUAUAAGUAGUGUCAUAGUGAAAGUGACCAAAGAUUUAUAUUACACUGCAAAGAAUUGGCAGUAACCUUAUUUAUAAGACUCAUCCAAGGUCUUUGACAUUGUCAGUUAUUACCCUAUUAUUUCAGAGACUAACUAAACUCUGACUCAGGGGAGGGUAGUCGAGUUUGUGACAGAAGCAGGAAAAAAGGAAGGGACAAGAUGGAGAAGACAGAGUGCAAAAGAAAAUUUAAAGAAAGAAAUGAGGAGAGUGUGAAAGGCAAGAGAUUUAACUGAAUCAAAAGGGAAGAGAAAAGCGAAAGGAAAAAAAAGUCAGGCUGAAGGAUUAAAAUGAGUAUAAUGAAAAUGUAAGAAAUUAAAAUCUAGUGAAAAAUACAAAAUGAAAAUGAUGGUUGGGAAAUAAAGGAAAACUGUACCAUUAGAAAAAAAAAACAACAUUUGAGAGGAUGAAGACGUAUUAGAAGGACAGUGAAACUGAAAACGUAGACAAAGUAAAAACAGCAAAAUAAAUCAAUAUAAAAAGGAUUAAAGGAAAGGAAAUAGGAAAGGAAAGUAAAGAAGAUGAUAGUGCAUUUUUAUUAUAAUGAAGUUUGCUGCCAACAUUUGUUGUAUGAUAACAUCUGCUAUGAAUUCUCUGAAACCUAAUGUUAUUUUGAGACUGUAGGGUAAAUUUUUAAACUGUUUUUCAGGGCUUUAAGUUAUGCAGCUAUAAUUAACAUCAUGGGGUUAGUGACUCAAACUUAAAACCUUGCAAACCACGUUGAAAACGAAUCCCAUUUUAUAUCCAUACAUGGCUGUUUGUGUAGAAGCACACAUAUGCAUCUGCAUGCGCAUGUGCAUGUUUUCCAAUGCCACUUCCACACUCCAAUUUAAAGGCAAGCGUGUGAUAGUUAUUGUGUACUGCAUUUAACUGUAACAUAUGUUCAACUUUCUAUUAAUACAUUACUUACUACGGACCUCAGUUGUUUUAA
Molecule: long non-coding RNA, 2428 nt
Organism: Mauremys reevesii (Reeves's turtle)
Lineage: Eukaryota; Metazoa; Chordata; Testudines; Geoemydidae
Exons: 4
Source: RefSeq, a predicted model, not a curated record